Molecule: ribosomal RNA, 253 nt
Filed under: uncultured bacterium
Lineage: Bacteria
Description: partial 16S ribosomal RNA
Rfam family: Bacterial small subunit ribosomal RNA
Source: RNAcentral
UACAGAGGUCCCGAGCGUUGUUCGGAUUCACUGGGCGUAAAGGGUGCGCAGGCGGCUUGGCAAGUUUGAUGUGAAAGCUCAGGGCUUAACCCUGAAAUGGCAUUGAAUACUGUUGAGCUGGAGGUUUGGAGGGGGGACUGGAAUUCUUGGUGUAGCAGUGAAAUGCGCAGAUAUCAAGAGGAACACCAGUGGCGAAGGCGAGUCCCUGGACAACACCUGACACUGAGGCACGAAAGCUAGGGGAGCAAACAGG